GACGAACGCUGGCGGCGUGCCUAAUACAUGCAAGUCGAGCGAGAAAGCCCGCAAGGGUGAGUAAAGCGGCGCACGGGUGCGUAACACGUGGGUAAUCUGCCCUGAAGCCCGGAAUAACUCGCCGAAAGGCGUGCUAAUGCCGGAUAAGACCACGGGAACCUCGGUUCCUGCGGGAAAAGGUGGCCUCUGUAUACAAGCUAUCUCUUCAGGAUGAGCCCGCGGCCCAUCAGCUAGUUGGCGGGGUAACGGCCCACCAAGGCUACGACGGGUAGCUGGUCUAAGAGGACGAUCAGCCACACUGGAACUGAGACACGGUCCAGACUCCUACGGGUGGCAG
Molecule: ribosomal RNA, 337 nt
Filed under: uncultured Pseudomonadota bacterium
Lineage: Bacteria; Pseudomonadati; Pseudomonadota
Description: bacterial SSU rRNA
Rfam family: Bacterial small subunit ribosomal RNA
Source: RNAcentral